Non-coding RNA from Paramuricea clavata, 235 nucleotides. NCBI's taxonomy places the organism in Eukaryota, Metazoa, Cnidaria, Anthozoa, Malacalcyonacea, Plexauridae. The record is from the annotation of a GenBank genome assembly.
GCAGAAUUACACUGUGGAAAGCUCUUGGAUUAUCUAUACCACUGUCAUCACUCACUUUCCCUCAGAUUUCUGGGCAUUAUCUGUGAAUAUAGCGUUAUCGUAUGAGCUUCAAAGCACUUGACUAGAAUACAGACACCUAGCUAAUAACUUUAAUAAAUCUUCCCCUUUUUACUUCUCCAAAUUUAAAAUGAAGCAAAUCGACAAUUGAUUUGGAUCAGACAUUUGAAUAAAAAAU